UACGAAGGGGGCUAGCGUUGUUCGGAAUUACUGGGCGUAAAGGGCGCGUAGGCGGUGUGUCAAGUCAGGCGUGAAAGCCCCGGGCUCAACCUGGGAACAGCGCUUGAGACUGGCACGCUCGAGUUCGGGAGAGGAUGGUGGAAUUCCCAGUGUAGAGGUGAAAUUCGUAGAUAUUGGGAAGAACACCGAUGGCGAAGGCAGCCAUCUGGACCGACACUGACGCUGAGGCGUGAAAGCGUGGGGAGCAAACAGG
Molecule: ribosomal RNA, 253 nt
Filed under: uncultured bacterium
Lineage: Bacteria
Description: partial 16S ribosomal RNA
Rfam family: Bacterial small subunit ribosomal RNA
Source: RNAcentral